GGCCGGCUAGCUCAGUUGGUUAGAGCGUGGUGCUAAUAUCACGUGACAUGUUACGCCAAGGUCGUCGGUUCGAUCCCGGCGCUGGCCA
RNAcentral lists this transfer RNA (88 nucleotides) under Panus rudis PR-1116 ss-1. RNAcentral describes it as "tRNA-Ile". It matches the Rfam family "tRNA". From Rfam's summary of the family: Transfer RNA (tRNA) molecules are approximately 80 nucleotides in length. Their secondary structure includes four short double-helical elements and three loops (D, anti-codon, and T loops). Further hydrogen bonds mediate the characteristic L-shaped molecular structure. tRNAs have two regions of fundamental functional importance: the anti-codon, which is responsible for specific mRNA codon recognition, and the 3' end, to which the tRNAs corresponding amino acid is attached (by aminoacyl-tRNA synthetases). tRNAs cope with the degeneracy of the genetic code in two manners: having more than one tRNA (with a specific anti-codon) for a particular amino acid; and 'wobble' base-pairing, i.e. permitting non-standard base-pairing at the 3rd anti-codon position. Lineage: Eukaryota; Fungi; Basidiomycota; Agaricomycetes; Polyporales; Panaceae. The record is from RNAcentral.